Molecule: ribosomal RNA, 253 nt
Filed under: uncultured bacterium
Lineage: Bacteria
Description: partial 16S ribosomal RNA
Rfam family: Bacterial small subunit ribosomal RNA
Source: RNAcentral
UACGGGGGGGGUAAGCGUUGUUCGGAAUUACUGGGCGUAAAGGGCUCGUAGGCGGCCAACUAAGUCAUACGUGAAAUCCCUCAGCUUAACUGGGGAACUGCGUGUGAUACUGGAUGGCUUGGAUUUGGGAGAGGGAUGCGGAAUUCCAGGUGUAGCGGUGAAAUGCGUAGAUAUCUGGAGGAACACCGGUGGCGAAGGCGGCUCGCUGGGCCGUUCCUGACGCUGAGACACGAAAGCGUGGGGAGCAAACAGG